This 253-nucleotide ribosomal RNA is filed under the name uncultured bacterium. Its description in RNAcentral is "partial 16S ribosomal RNA". It matches the Rfam family "Bacterial small subunit ribosomal RNA", at positions 524 to 776 of the family's 1533-position model. The record is from RNAcentral.
UACGUAGGGUGCGAGCGUUAAUCGGAAUUACUGGGCGUAAAGCGUGCGCAGGCGGUUCGUCAAGUCUGAUGUGAAAGCCCCGGGCUCAACCUGGGAAUGGCAUGGGAAACUGGCGAGCUGGAGUGCGGCAGAGGGGGGUGGAAGUCCGCGUGUAGCAGUGAAAUGCGUAGAGAUGCGGAGGAACACCGAUGGCGAAGGCAGCCCCCUGGGCCGACACUGACGCUCAGGCACGAAAGCGUGGGGAGCAAACAGG